GAUGAACGCUGGCGGCGUGCCUAAUACAUGCAAGUCGAGCGAACAGACGAGGAGCUUGCUCCUCUGACGUUAGCGGCGGACGGGUGAGUAACACGUGGAUAACCUACCUAUAAGACUGGGAUAACUUCGGGAAACCGGAGCUAAUACCGGAUAAUAUAUUGAACCGCAUGGUUCAAUAGUGAAAGACGGUUUUGCUGUCACUUAUAGAUGGAUCCGCGCCGCAUUAGCUAGUUGGUAAGGUAACGGCUUACCAAGGCAACGAUGCGUAGCCGACCUGAGAGGGUGAUCGGCCACACUGGACCUGAGACAGGGUCCAGAGUACUACGGGAGGCAGCAGUAGGGAAUCUUCCGCAAGGGGCGAAAGCCUGACGGAGCAACGAUGAGUGAGUGAUGAAGGUCUUCGGAUCGUAAAACUCUGUUAUGAGGGAAAAACAAAUGUGUAAGUAACUAUGCACGUCUUGACGGUACCUAAUCAGAAAGCCACGGCUAACUACGUG
RNAcentral lists this ribosomal RNA (497 nucleotides) under uncultured bacterium. RNAcentral's name for it is "partial 16S ribosomal RNA". It matches the Rfam family "Bacterial small subunit ribosomal RNA", at positions 28 to 507 of the family's 1533-position model. The record is from RNAcentral.